Molecule: ribosomal RNA, 253 nt
Filed under: uncultured bacterium
Lineage: Bacteria
Description: partial 16S ribosomal RNA
Rfam family: Bacterial small subunit ribosomal RNA
Source: RNAcentral
UACGAAGGGGGCUAGCGUUGUUCGGAUUUACUGGGCGUAAAGCGCACGUAGGCGGAUCGAUCAGUCAGGGGUGAAAUCCCAGAGCUCAACUCUGGAACUGCCUUUGAUACUGUCGAUCUGGAGUAUGGAAGAGGUGAGUGGAAUUCCGAGUGUAGAGGUGAAAUUCGUAGAUAUCGGGAGGAACACCGGUGGCGAAGGCGGCGACCUGGGUCGAGACUGACGCUGAGGCGCGAAAGCGUGGGGAGCAAACAGG